Molecule: long non-coding RNA, 614 nt
Filed under: Neodiprion pinetum (white pine sawfly)
Lineage: Eukaryota; Metazoa; Arthropoda; Insecta; Hymenoptera; Diprionidae
Description: uncharacterized LOC124212511
Source: RNAcentral
UUUCAGUUCGAAAAUCACUCUAUCAGAGAGUAGACCUGUAGCGUCCCCGUAUCUAUUACACGAAUUGAAAUUUCCAACACGAUGAAUAGCAACUUACGUUACGUGGUUGUAAAAUUAGCGGACCCCGCGAGAAGAAGCAACGCGUUUCUCGUUGACGAGUGCCACGUUUUCCGGCGAGAGUUGCUAUUCUGCAUGACACUGCGGAAUUGCUUCUGCAAUUGCGGCAACGCUUGUCGGUCUGCGGGGCACGAUCACUCGCGCUGCUUCACGUCAGUGGAGUUUUUAAAGAUUUCGCGUGUUCGUCAAUUGAUGGCGGCAGAAUUCGACGACCGCACUGAAAUCGAUAUAUCACAAGCGUCAAGAAUAGUGCUGUCGCGACCGAGUCGAAUAGCAGUGAUCGAAAUUCGAGUGGAAAUGCGUGUUUGAUCGAAGCCUGAGGGAGAACGAGGAGACGAGGGAGCAACUGGAGACCGGGAAACACUCCCGAGUCUGCGAGAUGAAAACGGAUGCAACAGGCAACGCCUACAAGGGGACAUGGAUAUCCGUCGAGAAGGGUAACAAGAUCAAAAGCACAAGCGAAGGCUGACAAGCCGAUAUAAGGUAAGAUCGUUGGA